This is a long non-coding RNA of Pteronotus mesoamericanus, 1912 nucleotides long. RefSeq lists it as uncharacterized. The record is from RefSeq and is a predicted model, not a curated record. The transcript is spliced from 4 exons. NCBI's taxonomy places the organism in Eukaryota, Metazoa, Chordata, Mammalia, Chiroptera, Mormoopidae.
UGGCCCAGAUGCAAACCGGGCGGGAUGGCAGCCCCGGAGAUAGAGAUGUGGGAUCUCUCGGGGAAAACAGGGGCUCCCAUCGGACGGGCGCGCAUCUCCCCCCGACGAAGGUCAUUAAGUUAGGCAGCCCGACUGCCGACCGAGUGCCCAAGGCAUUGUGGGAGUCCUGAUUCCGAGAGGCCCGCGAUUUAAAAUUGAACUUGUCAGUGCCCGGUCACGGGAGCAUGCAGACCCUGACUUCUGAGCAGGACCACCACUGCAUCCGCCAGCAGGUCCGUGCCCUCGCUGGUUUCCAUCCGCCUCUCCUCACAAUGUCCAAUGAGAGCCAAGAGCUAACCCACUUGUAGGAAAUUACUUUCAGUGGUCCUCUGACCCUUGUGCAGUUCCAAACAGAAGACACAUUUCACACGAUGCCUCUAUUCAUUUCACAAGUGUUUAGUGAGCAUUCACCAUGAUAAGUCCUGUUCUGGGACCUGUGGUUGCAGUAAAAAGACCCAAUCACUUUUCUCAAGGAGUUUGCUGUCUGCUAGGGGGAGGGUGACAGGCACUAAACCAAUAAAGAAUUAAUCCAAAGAAAAAGAUAAAUAAAUACAGGAGGCAAUUUCAGAUGGAGGUAAGUGCUAUGAGAUCAAAGAAAGCAGGUUGAGCAGAUGAGGAGGGGUGUUUGUGGUUGAACGGGAAGGUGAAGAAUCGAGGUGGUCAGAGAUAGACAGAGUCCUCGAGGAUGUGAAGAAUAUCUACAGAAGGACCAUUCGAAGUGUGGGAACCACAGGUCUAGAGCCUUAAGUACCAAACUCAGGCUAGGACUGGAAGUCCAAUGGUGAAUAAAAACCAGUAGGACACUUCAAGGAGCUUAUAGUCAAGAAAGAAAAAUAAUGCAUCUUAAAUCAAUCGCAUUCAACAUGGAAAGCUACAAUCAUGAUACUUUUGGUCAGUGGGGACCACUGAAGAGUUUGCUUAAUCUCAGAACAAAAUGGACAAUGUGCUGCCAAAAGAGCGGGCCCUGGUCAGAGCGCACGGGGCAGCAGAUGGCUGAAGCCCUGGCAGAGGAAAGGGGUUCGUUCGGACACCCUUCGCUGUAAGACAUGUAAACAUUGGAGUCUUACAUCCCGGAGCUGCGGAGGAUCCAGAAAGUGGUUGCCUCCCUGCUUUGAAGGAUGUGAAAUAUGUGAUGUGUAUGUAUGUGAAAUUUAUUUUUUUUCCUGAAAGUCAAUGCAGUAUAGAAAAUCCAAAACUAAAGAAGAUAGAAUAUAUUUAUAAAAAUCAGCAGUGAUCCCCAGUUUCCCAAGAGAGUUACUGGUAAUAUUACUUCAGUCCUUCCAAGCAUUUCUCAACACAUUUUUGCAUAAUUGAUAUUGCACUGUGUAAUACACAGUUUUGUAAGUUCCCCCCACGUACUCUCAUGAUAUAACUUCAUAAAAUGAAAGACAUCCCCCAUGUCAUUCAUUAUAACCUCACAGCUAAGGAGGGGUCAGGCCUCCUGCUCCGCAGUGCGGUGUGUCUCAGAUCCUGAAUUAAUGUGUCUAAUGUGUCAUACAACUCUAAACACUCCACCUGCGAUAUACACAUGUCUUCUCACAUGGACAGUCAUUACGGAAAAGAAAAUAUAUAGUAAUGCUCUUUGAAUAAGUACAAUGGUUACAAAAAUAAAUAUGAAACAGGUAGUCAGAAGGUCAAAGUUCACAUAUUACUUAUGUACACUUGUACAAAUUACCUGCAGUAGUGUGAAACAGUUUCUGCCAUCUCAUAAAAUUGUGUGUUGUGGCUUAGCCCAGAAUCCCUUUGUAAUAUUUAAAAAUUAAUAUGUAAUAGGUCUUACAGUAGAAAUGCGACACUGUAUUUUAUGUACUAUAAUCCAAACAUUUCUAUGUAUUAACGCUGUUCCAAGAAGAAUAAAUGCAACUGAAAAAAA